RNAcentral lists this small nuclear RNA (107 nucleotides) under Tupaia belangeri (northern tree shrew). Lineage: Eukaryota; Metazoa; Chordata; Mammalia; Scandentia; Tupaiidae. The record is from RNAcentral.
GUGCUCACUUUGGCAGCACAUAUACUAAAAUUGGAAUGAUAUAGAGAAGAUUAGCAUGGCCCCUGUGCAAAGAUGACAUGCAAAUUUGUGAAGCGUUCCAUAUUUUU